Molecule: ribosomal RNA, 465 nt
Filed under: uncultured Klebsiella sp.
Lineage: Bacteria; Pseudomonadati; Pseudomonadota; Gammaproteobacteria; Enterobacterales; Enterobacteriaceae
Description: bacterial SSU rRNA
Rfam family: Bacterial small subunit ribosomal RNA
Source: RNAcentral
CCUACGGGCGGCAGCAGUGGGGAAUAUUGCACAAUGGGCGCAAGCCUGAUGCAGCCAUGCCGCGUGUGUGAAGAAGGCCUUCGGGUCGUAAAGCACUUUCAGCGGGGAGGAAGGCGGUGAGGUUAAUAACCUCAUCGAUUGACGUUACCCGCAGAAGAAGCACCGGCUAACUCCGUGCCAGCAGCCGCGGUAAUACGGAGGGUGCAAGCGUUAAUCGGAAUUACUGGGCGUAAAGCGCACGCAGGCGGUCUGUCAAGUCGGAUGUGAAAUCCCCGGGCUCAACCUGGGAACCGCAUUCGAAACUGGCAGGCUAGAGUCUUGUAGAGGGGGGUAGAAUUCCAGGGGUAGCGGUGAAAUGCGUAGAGAUCUGGAGGAAUACCGGUGGCGAAGGCGGCCCCCUGGACAAAGACUGACGCUCGGGUGCGAAAGCGUGGGGAGCAAACAGGAUUAGAUACCCUAGUAGUC